GAUCAUGGCUCAGAACGAACGCUGGCGGCAUGCCUAACACAUGCAAGUCGAACGAGACCUUCGGGUCUAGUGGCGCACGGGUGCGUAACGCGUGGGAACCUGCCUUAGGUUCGGAAUAACUCAGAGAAAUUCGAGCUAAUACCGGAUAAUGUCUUCGGACCAAAGAUUUAUCGCCUUUAGAUGGGCCCGCGUAAGAUUAGCUAGUUGGUGGGGUAAAGGCCUACCAAGGCGACAAUCUUUAGCUGGUCUGAGAGGAUGAUCAGCCACACUGGGACUGAGACACGGCCCAGACUCCUACGGGAGGCAGCAGUGGGGAAUAUUGGACAAUGGGCGAAAGCCUGAUCCAGCAAUGCCGCGUGAGUGAUGAAGGCCUUAGGGUUGUAAAGCUCUUUUACCCGAGAUGAUAAUGACAGUAUCGGGAGAAUAAGCUCCGGCUAACUCCGUG
RNAcentral lists this ribosomal RNA (445 nucleotides) under uncultured bacterium. Its description in RNAcentral is "bacterial SSU rRNA". It matches the Rfam family "Bacterial small subunit ribosomal RNA", at positions 15 to 507 of the family's 1533-position model. The record is from RNAcentral.